Molecule: non-coding RNA, 112 nt
Organism: Acanthosepion pharaonis
Lineage: Eukaryota; Metazoa; Mollusca; Cephalopoda; Sepiida; Sepiidae
Source: the annotation of a GenBank genome assembly
UUACGGCCACAUCACCUUGAAACAUUGUUACCCGUACAAUCACGGAAGUUAAGCUACAUCGAGCCUGGCCACUACCUAGAUAGGUGACCGCUUGGGAAUGCCAGGUUCUGUA